Molecule: ribosomal RNA, 253 nt
Filed under: uncultured bacterium
Lineage: Bacteria
Description: partial 16S ribosomal RNA
Rfam family: Bacterial small subunit ribosomal RNA
Source: RNAcentral
UACAGAGGGUGCAAGCGUUGUUCGGAAUUACUGGGCGUAAAGCGCGCGUAGGCGGACCUGCAAGUCGGGGGUGAAAGCCCGAGGCUCAACCUCGGAACUGCCUUCGAUACUGCGGGUCUCGAGUCCGGGAGAGGUGAGUGGAAUUCCUAGUGUAGAGGUGAAAUUCGUAGAUAUUAGGAAGAACACCAGUGGCGAAGGCGGCUCACUGGCCCGGUACUGACGCUGAGGCGCGAAAGCGUGGGGAGCAAACGGG